AGAGUUGUAGUUUAUAAAAAACAACUUGUUUCAAACUAGUAGAAAGGAUUAAGUUCCUCUUCUCUG
RNAcentral lists this transfer RNA (66 nucleotides) under Arcuatula senhousia (Asian date mussel). RNAcentral's name for it is "tRNA-Trp". Lineage: Eukaryota; Metazoa; Mollusca; Bivalvia; Mytilida; Mytilidae. The record is from RNAcentral.